AACGAACGCUGGCGGCAGGCUUAACACAUGCAAGUCGAGCGCCCCGCAAGGGGAGCGGCAGACGGGUGAGUAACGCGUGGGAACGUACCUUUUGGUUCGGAACAACUCCGGGAAACUGGAGCUAAUACCGGAUAAGCCCUAACGGGGAAAGAUUUAUCGCCGAAAGAUCGGCCCGCGUCUGAUUAGCUAGUUGGUGAGGUAACGGCUCACCAAGGCGACGAUCAGUAGCUGGUCUGAGAGGAUGGUCAGCCACACUGGGACUGAGACACGGCCCAGACUCCUACGGGAGGCAGCAGUGGGGAAUAUUGGACAAUGGGCGCAAGCCUGAUCCAGCCAUGCCGCGUGAGUGAUGAAGGCCUUAGGGUUGUAAAGCUCUUUUGUCCGGGAAGAUAAUGACUGUACCGGAAGAAUAAGCCCCGGCCAACUUCGUG
This 431-nucleotide ribosomal RNA is filed under the name uncultured bacterium. RNAcentral describes it as "partial 16S ribosomal RNA". It matches the Rfam family "Bacterial small subunit ribosomal RNA", at positions 29 to 507 of the family's 1533-position model. The record is from RNAcentral.